Molecule: ribosomal RNA, 253 nt
Filed under: uncultured bacterium
Lineage: Bacteria
Description: partial 16S ribosomal RNA
Rfam family: Bacterial small subunit ribosomal RNA
Source: RNAcentral
UACAUAGGGCGCAAGCGUUGUCCGGAAUUAUUGGGCGUAAAGAGCUCGUAGGCGGCUUGUCGCGUCGAUUGUGAAAGCCCGGGGCUUAACCUCGGGUCUGCAUUCGAUACUGCAGUGCUUGAGGACUGGAGAGGAGACUGGAAUUCAUGGUGUAGCAGUGAAAUGCGUAGAGAUCAUGAGGAAGACCAGUGGCGAAGGCGGGUCUCUGGACAGUUCCUGACACUGAGGCACGAAGGCCAGGGGAGCAAACGGG